RNAcentral lists this transfer RNA (75 nucleotides) under Vulcanimicrobiaceae bacterium. RNAcentral describes it as "tRNA-Val". It matches the Rfam family "tRNA". From Rfam's summary of the family: Transfer RNA (tRNA) molecules are approximately 80 nucleotides in length. Their secondary structure includes four short double-helical elements and three loops (D, anti-codon, and T loops). Lineage: Bacteria; Bacillati; Vulcanimicrobiota; Vulcanimicrobiia; Vulcanimicrobiales; Vulcanimicrobiaceae. The record is from RNAcentral.
GGGCGAUUAGCUCAGGGGUAGAGCACUUGCAUGACACGCAAGGGGUCGUUGGUUCGAGACCAUCAUCGCCCACCA